GAAACGCGAUAGUUAAUGUGAAUUGCAGAAUUUAGUGAAUCAUCGAAUCUUUGAACGCACAUUGCGCCCCCUGGCAUUCCGGGGGGCAUGCCUGUUCGAGCGUCAUUACACCACUCAAGCCUGGCUUGGUAUUGAGCGCCGCGGCCUGCCCGCGCGCUCCAAUGUCUCCGGCUGAGCCGUCCGUCUCUAAGCGUUGUGAAUAGCGAUCGCUUGCGAGGCCCGGGCGGUUCGACGCCGUUAAACCCCCCAUUUUCUAUGGUUGACCUCGGAUCAGGUAGGGAUACCCGCUGAACUUAAGC
RNAcentral lists this unclassified non-coding RNA (299 nucleotides) under plant metagenome. RNAcentral describes it as "partial contains 5.8S ribosomal RNA, internal transcribed spacer 2, and large subunit ribosomal RNA". The stretch from base 1 to 105 matches the Rfam family "5.8S ribosomal RNA", at positions 50 to 154 of the family's 154-position model. The record is from RNAcentral.